Molecule: small RNA, 29 nt
Filed under: Bombyx mori (domestic silkworm)
Lineage: Eukaryota; Metazoa; Arthropoda; Insecta; Lepidoptera; Bombycidae
Description: piRNA piR-bmo-1502785
Source: RNAcentral
UAUAACGGUUUUGGUCGAUUAAGCCCCAC